GGUGGGAUGGCUGAGUGGCUGAAAGCACCGCAUUCGAAAUGCGGCAUACUCGCAAGGGUAUCGGGGGUUCAAAUCCCUCUCCCACCG
RNAcentral lists this transfer RNA (87 nucleotides) under Parcubacteria group bacterium GW2011_GWA2_38_13b. Its description in RNAcentral is "tRNA-Ser". It matches the Rfam family "tRNA". From Rfam's summary of the family: Transfer RNA (tRNA) molecules are approximately 80 nucleotides in length. The record is from RNAcentral.